This 1551-nucleotide ribosomal RNA is filed under the name Salmonella enterica subsp. enterica serovar Typhimurium. RNAcentral's name for it is "bacterial SSU rRNA". It matches the Rfam family "Bacterial small subunit ribosomal RNA". The record is from RNAcentral. Lineage: Bacteria; Pseudomonadati; Pseudomonadota; Gammaproteobacteria; Enterobacterales; Enterobacteriaceae.
AAAUUGAAGAGUUUGAUCAUGGCUCAGAUUGAACGCUGGCGGCAGGCCUAACACAUGCAAGUCGAACGGUAACAGGAAGCAGCUUGCUGCUUCGCUGACGAGUGGCGGACGGGUGAGUAAUGUCUGGGAAACUGCCUGAUGGAGGGGAUAACUACUGGAAACGGUGGCUAAUACCGCAUAACGUCGCAAGACCAAAGAGGGGGACCUUCGGGCCUCUUGCCAUCAGAUGUGCCCAGAUGGGAUUAGCUUGUUGGUGAGGUAACGGCUCACCAAGGCGACGAUCCCUAGCUGGUCUGAGAGGAUGACCAGCCACACUGGAACUGAGACACGGUCCAGACUCCUACGGGAGGCAGCAGUGGGGAAUAUUGCACAAUGGGCGCAAGCCUGAUGCAGCCAUGCCGCGUGUAUGAAGAAGGCCUUCGGGUUGUAAAGUACUUUCAGCGGGGAGGAAGGUGUUGUGGUUAAUAACCGCAGCAAUUGACGUUACCCGCAGAAGAAGCACCGGCUAACUCCGUGCCAGCAGCCGCGGUAAUACGGAGGGUGCAAGCGUUAAUCGGAAUUACUGGGCGUAAAGCGCACGCAGGCGGUCUGUCAAGUCGGAUGUGAAAUCCCCGGGCUCAACCUGGGAACUGCAUUCGAAACUGGCAGGCUUGAGUCUUGUAGAGGGGGGUAGAAUUCCAGGUGUAGCGGUGAAAUGCGUAGAGAUCUGGAGGAAUACCGGUGGCGAAGGCGGCCCCCUGGACAAAGACUGACGCUCAGGUGCGAAAGCGUGGGGAGCAAACAGGAUUAGAUACCCUGGUAGUCCACGCCGUAAACGAUGUCUACUUGGAGGUUGUGCCCUUGAGGCGUGGCUUCCGGAGCUAACGCGUUAAGUAGACCGCCUGGGGAGUACGGCCGCAAGGUUAAAACUCAAAUGAAUUGACGGGGGCCCGCACAAGCGGUGGAGCAUGUGGUUUAAUUCGAUGCAACGCGAAGAACCUUACCUGGUCUUGACAUCCACAGAACUUUCCAGAGAUGGAUUGGUGCCUUCGGGAACUGUGAGACAGGUGCUGCAUGGCUGUCGUCAGCUCGUGUUGUGAAAUGUUGGGUUAAGUCCCGCAACGAGCGCAACCCUUAUCCUUUGUUGCCAGCGAUUAGGUCGGGAACUCAAAGGAGACUGCCAGUGAUAAACUGGAGGAAGGUGGGGAUGACGUCAAGUCAUCAUGGCCCUUACGACCAGGGCUACACACGUGCUACAAUGGCGCAUACAAAGAGAAGCGACCUCGCGAGAGCAAGCGGACCUCAUAAAGUGCGUCGUAGUCCGGAUUGGAGUCUGCAACUCGACUCCAUGAAGUCGGAAUCGCUAGUAAUCGUGGAUCAGAAUGCCACGGUGAAUACGUUCCCGGGCCUUGUACACACCGCCCGUCACACCAUGGGAGUGGGUUGCAAAAGAAGUAGGUAGCUUAACCUUCGGGAGGGCGCUUACCACUUUGUGAUUCAUGACUGGGGUGAAGUCGUAACAAGGUAACCGUAGGGGAACCUGCGGUUGGAUCACCUCCUUACCUUAAAGAA